UACGUAGGGUGCGAGCGUUGCCCGGAUUUAUUGGGCGUAAAGGGCGCGUAGGCGGCCACGCACGUCCGUUGUGAAAUCGCCCGGCUCAACUGGGCGGGGUCAGCGGAUACGGUGUGGCUCGAGCAAGCUAGGGGGCAAUGGAAUUCCCGGUGUGAGUGGUGGGAAUGCGUAGAUAUCGGGAGGAACACCAGUGGCGAAGGCGGUUGCCUGGAGCUUUGCUGACGCUGAGGCGCGAAAGCGUGGGGAGCGAGUCCGG
This 256-nucleotide ribosomal RNA is filed under the name uncultured bacterium. RNAcentral describes it as "partial 16S ribosomal RNA". It matches the Rfam family "Bacterial small subunit ribosomal RNA", at positions 524 to 777 of the family's 1533-position model. The record is from RNAcentral.